GUGAGAAUGCCCUUAAAAUCAACAUGAUAAGAAGGAGCGGGUAUCAAGUGCACACAAAAGUAGCUCAAUACACCUUGUACAACCACACCCCCACGGGAAACAGCAGUGAUAAAAAUUAAGCUAUGAACGAAAGUUCGACUUAGUUAUGCAAUUUACCUAGGGUUGGUAAAUCUCGUGCCAGCCACCGCGUUAUACGAUUGACCCGAAUUAAUAAACACCGGCGUAAAGAAUGUUUAGGAAUAUGAUCAAACUAAGAUUAAAAUUUAUCUAUAUCGUAAAAAAUUCUAGACAAAUCAAAACUCAAUAAACGCAAGUAAUCUUAUAAUAUCUGAACACAUGACAGCUCAGACCCAAACUGGGAUUAGAUACCCCACUAUGCUGAGCCGUAAACAUAAAUUAUUAAAUGAAACAAAAUAUUUCGCCAGAGGACUACCAGCAACAGCUAAAAACUCAAAGGACUUGGCGGUGCUUCACACCCACCUAGAGGAGCCUGUUCUAUAAUCGAUAAACCCCGAUAAACCUCACCACUAUUUGCUAAUACAGCUUAUAUACCGCCAUCUUCAGCGAACCUUUAUAAAGAAAAAAAGUAAGCACAAUCACAAGCAUAAAGACGUUAGGUCAAGGUGUAGCCAAUAAAGUGGGAAGAAAUGGGCUACAUUUUCUUAACAAAGAACAUCUAAACGAAAGCCAUUAUGAAAUUUAAUAGUGCAAGGAGGAUUUAGUAGUAAAUUGAGAAUAGAGAGCUUAAUU
This 750-nucleotide ribosomal RNA is filed under the name Cryptomys hottentotus hottentotus. RNAcentral's name for it is "partial 12S ribosomal RNA". It matches the Rfam family "Bacterial small subunit ribosomal RNA", at positions 319 to 1363 of the family's 1533-position model. The record is from RNAcentral. Lineage: Eukaryota; Metazoa; Chordata; Mammalia; Rodentia; Bathyergidae.